UUAGUGGUGCAGUGUGCUUUUGAGGAAGGUUUGGUGGCAAAGGUAGAUUUUUAGCCUUAGCAUUUCACAACUGGUGGGCAGAAUUUAGAUGGGCAGAAGCAUUUUAGGAGAUUUUCAGAUUGAGAAAUGGAGGCAUCGAGGUCAAAUCUUUUACCUAAACCACUGAGCAGCAGAGACAGUACUAGAGUCAACAGCUGUUCUGAUGAAAUAGACGUGGUCCUCCAUUCACCACAAAGGCAGAGGUCAAGACUGACAGCAAC
Molecule: long non-coding RNA, 260 nt
Filed under: Homo sapiens (human)
Lineage: Eukaryota; Metazoa; Chordata; Mammalia; Primates; Hominidae
Description: HSALNT0347668
Source: RNAcentral